AAAAAAAUACAAAUAGCUGAUUCUUUUACAGUUUCAUUAAAUUGCUUUAGUAAUUUAUGAUUCUUUUCAAUUCUGAAAACAAUAGUUCCUCAUUGUAGGAUUUUAAAUGGAUUGAUAUUGGGUUUUGAAAAGUUUUAUGGUUCAAACUUUGUGAGGGUUCAUGUUCCACUGAACCUUUCAACUGAUUUCAUUAUUCUGGUUAUUGCAUCUGGGUUAACUGCUAUUGCUUAUUGCUGAGCUUCUCAUUGUUACUAUCAUUUUACUUUUCAGGUACUUUCUUUAGCCUAUAAGUGAAGAAUGAAUGUUGAACAUGUAAUUCAAGUGAAGUUCUGUUUGAAUGAAGAAUGCAUUCAAAUCUGAUUUCCCC
RNAcentral lists this long non-coding RNA (367 nucleotides) under Nicotiana benthamiana. Its description in RNAcentral is "long non-coding RNA (NBEN_LNC023875)". The record is from RNAcentral. Lineage: Eukaryota; Viridiplantae; Streptophyta; Magnoliopsida; Solanales; Solanaceae.